UUUCUAGCUUGCUAGAAGAUGACGAGCGGCGGACGGGUGAGUAAUACUUAGGAAUCUACCUAGUAGUGGGGGAUAGCACGGGGAAACUCGUAUUAAUACCGCAUACGACCUACGGGAGAAAGGGGGCAGUUUACUGCUCUCGCUAUUAGAUGAGCCUAAGUCGGAUUAGCUAGAUGGUGGGGUAAAGGCCUACCAUGGCAACGAUCUGUAGCUGGUCUGAGAGGAUGAUCAGCCACACCGGGACUGAGACACGGCCCGGACUCCUACGGGAGGCAGCAGUGGGGAAUAUUGGACAAUGGGGGAAACCCUGAUCCAGCCAUGCCGCGUGUGUGAAGAAGGCCUUUUGGUUGUAAAGCACUUUAAGCAGUGAAGAAGACUCCAUGGUUAAUACCCAUGGACGAUGACAUUAGCUGCAGAAUAAGCACCGGCUAACUCUGUGCCAGCAGCCGCGGUAAUACAGAGGGUGCAAGCGUUAAUCGGAAUUACUGGGCGUAAAUUUAGCGUAGGUGGCUCGAUAAGUCAGAUGUGAAAUCCCCGGGCUCAACCUGGGAACUGCAUCUGAUACUGUUGAGCUAGAGUAUGUGAGAG
This 588-nucleotide ribosomal RNA is filed under the name uncultured Psychrobacter sp. RNAcentral's name for it is "bacterial SSU rRNA". It matches the Rfam family "Bacterial small subunit ribosomal RNA", at positions 72 to 656 of the family's 1533-position model. The record is from RNAcentral. Lineage: Bacteria; Pseudomonadati; Pseudomonadota; Gammaproteobacteria; Moraxellales; Moraxellaceae.